Molecule: long non-coding RNA, 16164 nt
Filed under: Triticum aestivum (bread wheat)
Lineage: Eukaryota; Viridiplantae; Streptophyta; Magnoliopsida; Poales; Poaceae
Description: long non-coding RNA (TAES_LNC023321)
Source: RNAcentral
UUUCUUUUUUUUGUGACAAAUUUUCUUUUCGUUUAUUGAUUUUCCAAAAAUUAUUUUUUUUUCAAAGGUUCUGAAUAAAUGUAUUACAAAAAUUACUCCGCAUUAAAAACAUUUGUAACAUGUUGACCAAGCAUUUGAAAACUGUAAAAUGUGUAUAGUUAAAAUGUUUAUCACAUAUACGAAAAGUGUACACAAAAAAUAAAAUGUGUAUGAAAAAAAUUGAUCAUGUAUUUAGAAAAUUUUGGUCAAGCAUUUGCAAAAAUGUUGAAAAAGUGUUUGAAAUUUUUAAGGAAGCAUUUGGAUAAUAUUAAAUGUGUACAGAAAAAAUCUUGACCAUGUAUUAAAACAGGAUGCAACAAAUUUGUUUAUGUAUAUAAAGAUGUUAAUCAAGCAUUUGAAAAAAUGUUGAACAAGUAUUUGAAAAAUGGUAAAUUUGUAUACAAAAAUGUUAACAUGUAUUAGAAAAUGAUGAAAAAAAAUUGAUCAUGUACAUAAAAAUGUUAGUCAAGCAUUUGAAAAAAUGUUAAUCAGUCAUUUGAAAAAUGCGAAAUGUGUUUAGAAAAAAUGUUGACCAUGUGUUUGAUAAAAAACUAUUAAUAUUUAAUUUAUAAAUUAUUAAUCAAGCAUUUGAAAAAUAUUAAAAUAUGCAUAGAAAAAAUGUGGACAAUGCAUUAGAAAAAUGUUAAUCGAGCAUUUGAAGAAAGUUUUAAAGUGUACAUAGGAAAAAUGUUGAAUCAGGUUUCUCGCUUUUCUUCUUCUUAGUUUCUUUUAAACGCGCGCUAACAGACGGCCCAAUAGCUACAGUACAGGAGCAUUCACUUUAGCGGGACGGAAAUAGAGCUCGCGUAAAGAGAGAUAUAGUCCCCGCGGGCGAUUUUGCUAUGAUCGCUAAUGUCCCGUCUAACACUAGACAUGUAAUGAGAGGCGAGUAUGUAUCAACCAUGGUUUAAGUAUUUCCAUGGUCCUCAAAAAAUUGAAGUGAUCCAACUGCUGAGUACAUAAGUUGGAGCCUUAUGUAACAAUUUUCUAUGUUCACCAACUAAAUUGUCUAAUUUCACCAACUAAUUUAUUGUCAAUGUUAUGCGCAACGUCUUUGAUUUAUUUUUCUCUCUUGUGUAUGUCAAUACAUAUUUCUUGACAUAUGUCUAGCCAGGUUUGUAGUUGAUUUACCACCUAGGUGCUUUUUUUCAAGAUAGAAUAAUUGCGAAAGUGUUAACACAGUAAAAACACAUGCUAGAUAACACGUUUUAUUUAUUUUAUCCAAUAGAUGACACGAAUUACUCAAAUUCGGUAGAUCUUAAGAGUCAUACGCACCUCCCAUACUGGAACAAGAUACAAAUUCGGGUGUUUAAUUUGGAGCACUCAAAAGUUCCUUAACCAUUGAUUCAAGUACAAACUAAUAAUGUUGUCAAAAUCGCGACAGAAGUAACAUUUGAAGAUGCUGAAUCGAGAUAUAAUGUAUGCCGUGUUCUCGGUAGUCAUAUAUACAUAAUGUUCCCAUUUUUGUCUUACUGGCUAUGUUUAAGUAGUCUAGUUUGACAUCACCGUUGGCUUUUCCUUUUCAUUAAACAAGCAGCAAGAUCCAUCGCUCACAUGCCAAACACUACGGACGACAGACAGCUGAGUUUUCAAGCGAUAUCGCCACAUCGACCGGCUGGAUAUAAAAGAACACAGGUGCGUUGCGUGGCUGGCGACUUGCUGCAAAUCGAAAUUAGUCUCUUCUCGUUGACAUUGCCUGCCUGUCUCGCACGCACUAUCAUUUGCUGCUUAAUUAUUCGGAUACGGAUCCCGUUUAGUUAGACACACCCUAAUUAAGCAAUGAAGUCUAGCUGCGAUGUGGCGAUCAUAAGGAUCUGUACGUGAGAUAAGCAUGCGAAUGAUUUGCUUGAUUUCCGAGGAUGCUUUCCCGUAAAACUGAACACCGCACUCUUUCUGCGAGGUCCGUAGAUGUAUUUUCUUUAAGAAGUUAAUGAAAAUGGGCAGUGCCAGGUUGGAAAAAAAGCAUAAGCAUGGUUGCUUCAGCCUUCAGGGACUGAAGAACCAGAGAAAACUCUGGCCUCUUCUGACUUGGAAGUUGGAACAGUGAAAAACCCCAAUAAAACCAUUCGCGCACAAAACAAGGUGUCGUUCUCUGAAUAUUCAGCAUAAAGAUCACGCUCCAGUGUUCUUCUCGACUGACCAUUUCAGCAGUUGACAUGGAUCGACCACCGUUGGCUCUUGAUUAAACUAGCAAGGAGAUCUAUACCUGACAAGAGAUUUAUAAUGAGCUAUACUAUCUGACUGACCGGCCGCCCGGGUUUAUAAAAGAAUUAAUCCAGGUGCUACGUAUGUUUUUUUUUCUCUCGGCCGUGGACACUGCCGGCCUGUAUCAUAUUCGCACUGUUAUCUCUACGGAUCCCGUUUACUCGCACUAAACAAUGCGGUGUAGUACGUAGCUGUGAUGUGGCGAUUCUCCCCGAUCCUAACUAAUGAUCUGCGGCUCUCCGCGAGGGAAUACGGCCACAUGCUGCCGCUUGCCCGUGCCGUGUUCUAAGGCUUCGAGCCUGCCUAUUGGUGCAGAGCUGUGGACGACGGGCGACUGAUUCCAGCUUCCAGGUGGGAUCGUGGAGAUCGUGAAGUGGUGAUAUGGAAUCAUGGAUUGGAUUAGAUAUUUAGAUCAGUGACGCGUCGUGUCCACGGCAUCGAGCGGUGACGUGCCGAUGUACGGUGCCCCGUACGGCACCUCACAGGACGUUUCCUCGCAGGUGGAACGGCGGUGAGAUAAGAAUACCGGGGCGAGCGCGCGCACGAGCCAGGCAGGCAGGCGGGGCGGCGUCGGCAGAGCAUGUGAGUUGUGAAGCUAGCAGGUGCCGGCAGGACAGACGGUAGCGAUCGGCAGCGGAGAUGCGGAUUCGGGGGAUAAUUCUGGUCGGCGCUCCAGGCAUGCAUCGCGCUUGCCGUCGGCGGCAGCCGGGGCAUGCACUCUGCACUACGUGAUCAGACUGACGCUGUUGCUGGCCGGGAGGCCACGCUGAUCGUUAUCGUCUGCUUCUCUUCCCGAUGAAUGGUGACGGCGGUCUCUGAUUGAAUGGAGAUUCGAUCGAGCUGCCCCUGCGCGCGUCUCAUCUGAUUCUCCUCCGUCAAUGCAAAUAUCGCCAGUCUUGUACCCGGCGCCUCGCCACGCUUUAGGAAAGGAAGAGAGGAAUCUCUGUGGCUUUGGAUAACAACUUGGCAUGGCAUCGCCCAGAUCAGCGUAUCUGCAGACAGUCAUUGCCUACUCGUGCCAGGGGAGAUUCUCCCGCCAAACGAGGCUCCUAGGCCAGCAGCAGAGGAUACGAUGCGAAUCUCCGUCAGUCACCAAACCGCUUUCUUUGGGAGCUUUUUUAUGGUACCCUAUACUGCUACCGAGGGGAUGGAGCAGUAUAAAAUCAUCAACCGUUGAUUUUGUGAGGGUAAUUUAGUCAGUUUCAGCCCAUCAGCGAUCGGUCUGUUCGUUGUACUUGGAAAAAGAAAAAUCGCGGGCCCUGUGCCGUCGGCCGUCGCCCUGCUCGCCGCCGACUGUGCCAUUAGCGAACUCGCCGUCGUAUCGCUGUAUCCGCGAGUGCUCCAGUCCAGCCACCACCCUCUGCCCGCGCGCGUCGACCUCGCUGCAUAUCCAGCCGCAUCUCCUGUCGGGGCACACAUUGCCCGCACACCGUCACACGCACGGCUUCGUCCUCGUCGGUACAGGCUACUCCCCGUAGACGAAAAGUGUAAUGGCUCGGACAACUGUACCAUCCUGCCGGAGUGCCUGACCAUUAGCAUGGCCGAGGAAAGGGACGCGAUUCCCUGAAGAAGACGACAUGCAUCGGCGGCCGCGUGACAGAGGAAGGGGUGGAUGCCAGAUCGGGCUCCGACGGGCGUGUGCCGGCGUGCGUGCAGCCAUGCGGGAAAUGGAAGAGGAAGGGCUGACUUCGUCGGGACUCGGGAGGCAGGACGAUUUCUCUCCCUCCCUAAAUUAUCCUCACAGGACGUGUGCUCCUGCAGGCCGAGCGCCCAGUGCCACUGAAUACUGCUGGGGAUGGUGCUAGUCCAAUUGAGCGGUAUAGAUGGAUGACCACCGUUGGAUUUCGAGAAUAGAGGGUCCAUAUUGAUUACCGGGUACUGUAAAAGAGCUCUUCUUUGGGUGUGCUUUUGUGUUGAUUCGGAUAGGAAACGGUGCCAAGCAUGUUGCCGCGAUACAAUAUGCUUCCUGUCCCUGAUCCGUUCAAGUUCGAGUUCGAUUGCGUGCUCUUUUCCCGACGAUUAUUCUGAUGCUGCAACUGGCAGGGAUCAUAUCGAUAAUAUCCUUUCCCCUGCAGAGUAGCAAUGAAAAAGAAAAGAAAAGCAGAUACGGUUCUCGACUUCCAAAACCGGCAAGGCAGUGUGCAUGACAGGCUUUCGCGUUACUCUGUCAAUGCCUUUGGGAGAAAGCAGAUUGUUCGUCUUGCUCUUCGACGAAAGGUACAGCAAGUUGCAGCUUUACAGCACGCGGCAAUACAGGAUCUUGACGAUGGUCAGGACAUGGCAUGGAAAUGCACCCAAAGGCAAGCUGCUUGGGUGCACAUACCACGCCUAUGUUCACACAAGGCAAAAGCAAAUAGGCAAUCCCUACUGGCCAAAUGGAUCAGGCAAACAGAUUUGAGGCGUCAUUCGUGUUACUCCAUCGCACCACAGUCCACAAUGCACAUUUGAGUUUCAGUUUGUGUUUUCCUUUUUCACCACAUAGUUUAUUUGAAGUAAGCAAAUGCAACUACUGCCAUGAAACAAUAUCCAGCGGCUUAUUCACCUUUAUUUGAGAAGCUCCAUCUGCCUCAUUUAUGUUCUAUAAACAAGAGUUCGGGGUCUUGCUCUAUGGUCAUUGGUGCCAAAAGGCUUUGGUUGUAUGUUUUUCAUAAAUCACGUUGGAGGCGUUUUGUACUCCCUCCGUUCCUAAAUAUUUGUCUUUCUAGAGAUUUCAACAAGUGACCACAUAAGAAGCAAAAUGAGCGAAUAAGCUAUCUACUACAAUUAGAUAUGCAAGCGUUAUUAACCAGGUAAAUGAGUAUUAGUCAAACAUAGUAUAAAGUCCUUGGUUUUCGGUUUCUCUUUUUGCAUGCGUUUAUUUUUUUAGUAGGCACAAUGUCUUACAUAAUUUUUGGUUGAUUUAUGUCAGUAAUUCUAAAAACAAGUUUGAAGGGGUUAACCACUAUGGUGUAAAAAUUAAGUUAAGAUAUAACUUUGUGGUUUUCACCAAAAUAUUUUAGCCAUUAGAUCAAAUUCGAUGAUGAGUUUGACACGUGAUUGGUUAUGUUGUUGUUCUAGAAACAACUUUCAACGGGGUGUCCAUAAAAAUAUGUCGACAUUCCGAGUAAGUAAGGUGCCUUCUAUGUAAGGUCGUCGUAUGUAGACAAAGUUGAUAUGAUGAAACUUUUUAAAUAGGUACAGCUGCUUCGAGAGAGCUGGGAUAGUCCUAUGUUUGGAAGGGGGUGAGGGUGGUGUGAUCGCAGGACUGAGCCAUUCUCGACUCAUGGGCACCCUCUCCAACUAAUCCUCCCUGACACCGGUCUGAGCCGUGGGAGGCUUAUAUAGGCGAUGAGUCCUCAAAAUGACCAAAGAUACCCUUGUGAUUGUUAGUGGUAAGGGUGGUGGAUGUAAUAUUUGGUCAAUGAGUCCAUGGGCUCAUGGCAGUCUAGGCGGAAAGUGGUGACCCAUGAGAGGGAAUAUUCCAUCCACAAUAUAUGAGAGCUGCUCUUUGAUUGGUUUGGGCUUCUUUGCUAGGUGUGGCCUCCUUGACUUUGUAUUCUCUUCUUUUCCUCAUCUUUGAUUUUCUGAUCAUGACAUGAUACUUGGGCUUCUGUUGACCAUACUAGGAGCUUGGUUUCCUUGCUUAAGCUAUGUUAAUCGUCUUUGUCUUUUGUUGACCUGCCAUGUAGGCCUUGAAGGGGGCCUGGAGUCGGAUUAUUUGACUACCACGAUAAGUUGUAUAGUUACUAGUAGUUAUACUUGUGUUAUAUAUGAGCUCAGCUUAUAUAACUUCAGUACAACCAAAUAUAAAAAAGACCGCAUUGUACAGACAUGUAAAUUCAACUGCAUAUGCAUGAACUGUCAAAUUUUAAUAUCCUACAGUCCAUUGCAUUGAUGAUCGAAAUAUAGAAUGCAACUAAUAUACAUUGUACACAUUACAUAGGACAAAUAUAUCCAAAACAUUUGCCUUGUAAGUAUAUUGCAUUGCAGUUUUGAGUAAAAUAUUGUACGAAAUGCUACACUGCAACACCAAAGACGGACGGACUUCAUGACGGUACUUCCAUAAGAGUUAAACCAAAACAAAAACCGUAAAGUUAAAUGAAUAGCAAUAUUUUAUAAAGUAAAAACUUUGAGAAAUUGGUGUAUGGGAAAGUCUAAAACAAAGGAAGAGGUGGUUGUUUUUUUGAGGUCCAUGCAGAUUGCGCAUUGCAAAUCACAAUAAUGGUCUUUUAGAAGAAAAGUUUUGUGAGCGUUCAAGUAGUAGUACAGAGUCUAGAACAAAUGAGGAGUGUGUCUUGAGCUUUUGGCAUAUCGUGCGAAAGCUUGGUGCAGAAGAAGAUAUCCAGCGAACAAUCGAGCUCAGAUUGUGCCACCUCUCUACGACUCUACCGCCCGCAAGAACCUCAUCUAACAACGAAAAAUCAAAGUUAUUGUUGUGCUACAUAGCGGUGCAGAUAUAUCUUAGCAAGCAUAAUCAUAGUUGCUUCACAGACUGAAGUCAACAGUCUCAAGAAUCAUAAGACUGCAGCUGUCGUGCUCUGAAUAUCUCUGGAGAUACGCUAAAUCCGAAGACUGCAGCUGCCGUGCUCUGGAUAUGCACCAUAAACAUCACACUCAGUAUUCUUCUCGACUGACCGACUGUUUCAGCAGUUGACAUUGGCUCUGGUUAAACAAGCAAGGAGUUGUGUCGCAUGACAAGCACUACAGGAGAGGAUCAUAGCUGACAAGAGAGUUUUCGUUUUAUAAGGCUAGAUAUACUAUCUGAGUGAUCGACCGCCCGAGUUUAAAAGAGUUGAUCCAAGAUGCACAGCACCGGCCGCGUGAGUGCUGCUGCUAAGUGUAGUUUACUUGUAUAAAUUUAUUUUUCCUCGGCCUGCCGUUGACACUGACUGGCUCUAUCAACCCACUGUUAUCCCUUGAUUAAUCCGGAUACGGAUCCCGUUCACGUUUAGUGGCACUAAACAAUGCGGUGUAGCUGUGAUGUAGCGUAUCUGAUAUGUGCAGGAUAGAAUACAGAGUUGUUGACACUUGAUCGGAUCCUCGUGCCCUGUCGGAAGGGAAACUGCCUGGUACAGAGUUGCCGACAGGCUAUGUACGAAAUGAAAUGAUACUCUAGUUGAUCAGAUCGUGGAGAUCUUGGACUGGACAAGAUCGUCGACGGCACGGCAUCGAGCGGUGAGGUACGACUCGCUGUACGGCACCCUGCAUGACGUUCCCUUGCAAGUGAAACCGCGGAGUUGUUGACACUUGACAAUACAUACGUAGCGCUAGUAAUUCUUUUUCCCCGUUAUAAAACCUUGGUGCCAACAAGGCGAAGGAACAGUGGCGAUCGAAAACCAAGGAUUCUGGAGAUGGUCAAUUGUGGUCGUGCAUCAUGUCUGCCGUCGGCGCGAUGUGCUUCUUCUAUUCAUGAGCAGUGACGGUGGGGCUGUGCUGAACGGAGAUUGGAUCGCGUAUCAUCCUCUCUCCUCUGGCAGAUUGGAUCGUACCAGGCGCCGCGCCCGCUUCAGUACAGGGAAGGAAAGAAUCUUGCUCACUUUCCAUGGCAGCUCGGAGUUUUCCCAGCUCAGCCUAUAUAUCUGCAGGUCUGGUGAGUUUGUGCUGGUCAUCAGUCAUCGCUCGUGCAGACGAUACGAGGCUCCUAGGCUAGCAGAGGAUACGAUGCGGUUCGCACGAGGAGUAGCUCGAGGAAAAGCAGAUAGAGAUACGGUUUUCGACUUCCAAAACCGGCAAUGCCUUUGGGAGAAAGCAAAUCCUCGAGGAGCCAAGUCGCACCUGCUUUUACUUUACGGCACUGUACAGGGCAAGGACCUUCGAGUCUUGCUAAACGGUAGGCAGCCAUGGCGUGGAAAUGGCUAGCUGCUUGGCACAGCUUAGGGGGUGUUUGAUUAAGAAGUCUUUGGACUUUUUCUAGUCCCAGGGACUAAUCCAAAAAGACUCUCCAGUAGAGUCUUUUCCUAGUCCCUGUAGAAAAAGUCCCUCCCGUUUGGUUUUUAUGGACUUUUUAGGAAUUUUUUUUAGUCCCUGGAACUAAAAAGUCUCUGAACCAAACACCCCCUUAGUUGGGUACUAUACACACGACACUAGCGCCUCUGCCCACGCAAGAACCUGCUUAUGAGCAAAGCACAACAGUUAAAAGCAAAAUAGAUUUACGGGUCGCGCUCGGACAACCAGACAAUGUUCGGCCGGCACUCGACCAGACAAAGUCACAGCCUGCUCUAGCUCUGCUUAGUGUGAAAAACAAACCGGAACUGCUCCACAGACGACAUGUGCAACCGAUUUUCGCACGACCAUGAAAUCGAGCGGCUGUUGCCCUUUAAGUCGACUACAUGUGCGGCUGGAUUUACAUCGUCGUGCAUGAAUCGUCCGUCUGUUGUCGUCCGUGUAGCAUGAUUCAAAACAAACCCGGCAGGCGCUCCCGUUUCUUUGUUUCUGCAGGCGACAAGGCAGCUGGACGCGUUUGUCCACACGCCAAUUCCCGACAUGCCGCUGUCAACAACGGAUCCCAGCAGCCUGCAUUCCCCGAAGAUCAUGGCCCGUGUCCACACAGAUCUUCCUACAGUAGCAUUCCGGUCGCAGGCGAGCAGAGAGCCAGAAGGACCAGGCAUGGCCUGUACUAGCGUCCACGAUACUCUACAGUAAUAGUAAUACUCUGACAAAAUGGAUCAGGCAAGGUAUCACUGGAAAAGCUGCGCGCACAUUACAGUAGGCUCCCUUCCCUCUCAUUCCCAUGUGAGCAAGAUUUGCACAAAACAUGGGAUCUCACUCACUGAUUGCUUUUCUUUAACAUUUGACUAGACGCAGCGCACCUGACCGACUGACUGACCGCGCCGUGCACAAGAGGGGAAAAGGAAAGGGUCAAUGCAGGUUACAUCUAGACGCACGCCCACACACACGGUUGUUGGGCCUGAGCUUUUCAAUGGGACCGGUGAGAAGUUUCUUCUUCGAGAUCGAUCGGAUCCACCCGGAUACGCGGUUGACGCAAGAGGUUGAGGUAACAUGGACGUUUGGAAUUAGCAGACGACGUACGUAUGUGACCCUUACUGUGUGAAAUAUAUUCCCAGCAACAGGAAAAAAAGACCGUAUAUUUUCAUGAAAAUAUUCUCAAGCAGCGAGAGAAAAAAGAAACUUCUACAGGUAUGAAGAUUCCCCGUAUAGAUUUUUAAUGAGAUAUUCUAGACUAGAAGAAAAUAAGAAACUUGUAUUCUGCCGGGUGUGACACCACGAUACCGAUGUGUAUGGAGAUUCCCCGUAGAUAUUUAAUGAGAUAUUCUAGCUAGCUAGUCAAUGGCGUGGAGCGGAUGAUCCUGUUUCCAUCCGAGAGAAUAAAAAUCCUACUACUAGCGAUCAAGUCGCACUCGAAAAGUAAUUAUCUGAUCAGUUCAGAAUAACAUCAACAGCUCAGAGUGAUGUACUACUAGCAGCAGAAAAUUAGCACUACCUGACACGGCUAAGUCAUAAAUUAAAUUAACUAGUACAAUGCCCGUGCGUUGCCACGGGCUAACAAAGUAUAUGUACACCGAGAAAUACGCUAACAAAAAUGUAUAGGGAACUAUUUACAUGUGAAGAUAUUUCAUGCUAGUGAUGUGGUAGAUAAAUGAAUCUCCUCAUCUUUCUCUCCUCCUCCCUCUCCCACGAUCCUUUCUUCUUCGUGUUUUAUUCACCCACGUCCCAUGACUUCUCCAGUUGGCCAUCUUAUAGAUUGUACUCCCUCCGUUCCCAAAUAUUUGUCCUUUUAGAGAUUUCAACAAGUGCCUAUAUAUGAAACAAAACGAGUCAAUCUACACUCUGAAAUAUGUCUACAUACAUCCGUAUGUCAUAGUUCAUUUGAAAUGUCAAGAAAGACAAAUAUUUGAAAACGGAUGGAGUAAUAGAUAACUUAUGUGCCCCAUAAAAGGAUACCAAACGCCGUGUGAGAGAUAAGAAUUCAGGGUGACAUCUGUCUAUACAAUUAGUUUUCAAGGCAAACUUUUGCACCAAGAUUGUGACAUAGUCACAUUCCAUCGAAUGAACAUGUGAUGCUGACCGAAGACUUGAUCAACUGUUUAAAUAUGCCUAUGAUAAAAAAUAGUUUAUUCAAAGCACAUUUAUCUAAGAAUGUAGUACGAUUUGUUUAAAGUCAAAAUUGAGAGAUUUGGUUACAUCCUAAAUUAUCAUAUAUAUUGAGGAAUAAAUUUCAUCAACUCAUGAUCUAAAAUGAAAGGACUUCUUAUUAGUGGCAUAAAGUCGUGAGAAAGCCAUGUUAUAUGCACUCUAUUAUGUGUUGGAGCACAUGUGUGCUCGUUAUCCCUCCCAUCAAGUUGCCCCGGGAUUUACAGCCCAACACGCAUAGGCCACUAAUAAUCUAUGUAUGCUUCUUUUGAACAGUGAAUAUGGCCCACAUCUGAAGUCCAUGAAACAUGACUAUGUGAGGCACUUUCACACCGGAUCGAAUGUCAGACCACCAUAUGGGUCGUCCAAGACGAGAUUCUGGACUAACAGAGUCAUUUUCGAGUCGAUUUAUUAUGUCUGACUCAUGCAUGUGGCUUCCCUUCCCCUACACAACUAAAGCUCGUCCCUCACUGGCUAAAGCGAACUCCACCUAGAUCCACCAUUCCCCCGCAGUCAAUUCUUCCUCAUCAGCCAUUCCCGAAGACAUCUUGCCGCUCAUUCCUGGCUUCGAUUGCGGAGAGCAGAUCAUAACAUAGAUUGCCCAUAGUGUGGCAAAUGUCGGCAAUCUGCCCCCGGUCACCUGCAACCACAAGAGUCCCUUUAGUAUGAAUCAGAUUCACACCAUAACCAUUUGCAACAAUCUAGUCCUCUAAUACAAGCCCAUCAUAAUUCUCAAUAGUCAUUAAAAUAUGGAAUCAAAACAGCUAACAAUCUAUCAUGUAUCCAAAAUUGACACCUAUGCUUAUCAUACAUGCCGGAGAAAAAUAGCUACAAUGUUGCUGUCAAGAUAACAUUUUGGAAGCAUUUUCUCUCAAAUAAGUAUUAAUAGAUCAGACACUGACAAAAUGAUUAUGGUAGUGUAAACCAAACGAAAUGACAUGGCCCACACACCAAUCUAUUCAGGAGUGUUACAUUAAUCCAACAAUUUGUUCAGCGCAUGGUAGCUAUAUAAAUAAUCCAGAUAUCAUUCGUGUUGACAGAAAUUAGCAAUGCUCCCAAGUACAUACAAAAUUGUCGAGAGAGAAUUUCCUAGCAUGCUGAGUUUCCAAAGACUGGACUUCUUAAUAAUGACACACCUUCGUGUCCAUGCAGGAGCUUUAGGGUCGAUCAGGCCAUAGAUUUCUUCGAUGUUGGCGACGAAUCUUCCGUUCAAGCUUCCGUUGCCCCUCCACCACACAUAUUUGCGUGUCUCCACUCACUCCCCUCAUAGGCGGCCGCUGCUCGACAUGUUGAGCCACUCAUGGCUGUCUCCACUCACUCCCCUCAUAGGAAUAGUGAACCGUAAAAAUAUUUUCAGAGUAUUAGGCUUGUAUCAUGAAUUAUGUUCGCUUCUAUCAAUGCUUCAAGACGCAAAGCUUUUUGUGUUUGCUAAGAAAACUAAGCAAAUAUGAAGGUAAAAGGAAAUCAUCAAUAUAAUUCCGCAAAAACUACUACAUGGAACGGACAUGAAAUGUUGCGGAAAUUGCUGAAUCUUGCUUUUCUGGAACAACGAUAUAGAGUGUUCACUACUGACUUGCACAUACUUUGCAAUCAGAAAAAAGCUUCAUCAAGUAUGUAGACGCGGUGAAAGGGAAUACAACAUACAAAAUCUAGAUACAGAAUUCAAGAUAAUAAAGCUAGAUGGAGCUAACACGACACAAUAUGCUUCAUCGUUUAGCGGGUACUCCCAUGCAUAUACUAAAUCAUAUAGACAUACACUUCAACCAUCAGAACUAUGCCAGAACUGGAACUGGUUUGUUCUUACAUGUCAUUUCCAGUGAGAAAAGGGGGAUGCUAUACAUUCCAAGUCACAAAAAUUGUCUUAAAAUUAUAAGAAGCAAACUAAAAAUUAUAAAUAAUCAGAAGAAGUGCUCCCGCUGAGCGAAAACACAUUGCAUCUGAACAAUGCAAAGCAAUUGCAGCACAUAAGCUAGCACCUUAUUCAUGCUUUAAAGGUGUACAGUUUGACCACCUACUUGUAGCUACUAUACACAUUCACAAGACAUUAGGCCUUUCAUGUAAUAUUUUUCUAGGCAAGAAAACAUUGCUAUAUGACGUAACUCGUAGUAGUAGGUAAAUUCACAAACUGUGUAUGUUGUAUCAAUGACUCUGUUGUAAUCAAACUUUGAAGCUACAAUCAGAUAAAGGAAUAAUAUGAACUUCAGUUAACUGAUGUAAAAUAACAAAAAGAGGCAUGUCUAAAGAACACAAUGGAAGAAUAGAAAAAUGCAUGUAGAAGAUUACACAUGAUCUAAUCAUAUACCUUGCCACCCAAAAUUUUGCCUUUGUCGUAUCAAUGAGUUUGCUAUAAAUGAGGAAGUAGUAAUUUUUGCACGUACUCUAGGUGUUUUGUCAUCGGUUGAACGACAAGCUUCUUCAUUUUUGGAAACUACACGAACAAGACAAAACAUUUGUUCACAGUAAGUUAGUAACCCUAAAGGAUCUACUUACUCGGACAAAUUCAUAAGAACAAACUGCAUAUACAGUAAAACACAACGAGCUCUGAAUCAAAGUAUAACUAUUUGAAAAUCUUUGGAGAAGAUCAAACAAUACAUCAUUGCAUCACUACUCGGGGUCACUAACGGAGGCGCCAAUUCCUUCGAGCUGGGGAAAGGGGAAUUGAAGGUGCUCGGCAGAACUGGAAGGGGGAGAAAUGAAAACCUCAAACACUACCAUUUGAAGAGCAGAGGAUAUAUAUUUAGGCACUCACAGAAAUAAUCACCGGAGGUCCUGUACAGAUACAAGUAGGUGGUGGCAUCGCCGUCUUAGCUCGGUUGUCCAAGCAACACAGAAUGUCCUGAUCACCACACAGUUGAAAUUGAAAGUGUUUGCAACUCUGCAAAUUAUAUACAUAUCCAACGAUUCAGUUGGGAGUUUAUUCUGCACCAUUUGUGAAAACACACACUCACAAGCAAUUCGUUGAGUAGACACCGUGAAAUAAAAUUAUAUUGUGAAAAAUACUAUUUAUCAAACAGGUGAAACAAACUAAUCAGGUGCAUCUCCGUAAGCAAAGAAAAAGGCAGACCAAAAUCUAUAGGAUAUGAGACAUAUAUAUCUCUUUGUUUAUAUAUAGACACACACACACACACACGUCAUAAUACCUUGACUUUCUUCCAGAGACUAAACAUUGGUUUGUGGACUAAAAACUCAGAGAAAAAAUUACCAGAAUGGGUAAAUGAGUAAUGGAGCAAACAUGCACAUUACUGAGAGAGAACACAUGUCCAGUGCAUACAGUUAUAAACAACCAUACUUAUAUAAUUUCCAUGUGGGAGAAGUAUAUUAGGUUAUGAAAGCAAGCGCCGUCGUUCGUGAUUUUAACGCACACGACUGAUGUCAUGUCACUAUGGUGCCAACCGGCUUGCCCAUGACACAGCUAGAUUCUGUCACCUCAAUCUUUGUAAUCUCAUCAUCUUAGGACAUGCCACAUUUUGCAAUGUUGUGAGUAGAUGACAGAUAAGAUGUAGCAGUGUAUAAUGGAAUUAGGGGUGGAUCAGCAACCUGACAUGCGCGGGGGAGGUACUCUGCCCGCCACUUCCCAUCCCUAGAGGGGGCGUGCAGGGUCGGCUACCAUCACCUUGACGCUCGGCCCACGAGACUACCAUAGAUGUAUUCUCACCUGCGUCGAUGCCACGUGCAUGACGCCACGACCGCGGCUGCCACAGCCUGGCCUCUCCUACAAGUAAAAAAGUAAAUCACACCAAAAUCAACACAAAAGGCACACCAAAUCAAGUUGAGAAGUGAGAGUGCAAGGGAUUCAUCGUACCUGCUCCGAGUAGGUCGAGACGCAAUAGUAAAUCCCACCGGCUGCCUUCAUGUCCGUUCAUGAUUGGAACAGGCAUGUUUCAGCCAGCUCGAGGUGCACUUACCAAGGUUGCAAAUUACAUGAUUUACGUAUAUAUAUUGUGAGAAGAAAACCCAAAAAAACGAUUGCAUGUAUUUUUAGCGAAGUGUGCUUCUGAACCACAGCUUGGAAUUGUGUAAUCACGACAUGACAUCAUGAUUCCCCAAAACAAUUCAGACCAUAGUUAGCACAGUAUGGACACCUAAAUCUUGAACAUUCUAAAAUAAUUACAAUAUCCUCAUUUUUCUCUAUUUAUACCAGAAAUUAAGAAGAACCGCAAGCAAUCAUCAGGAAAUACCAAAUCUAGGGGUUACAGAAAGUCAAAGUGUUCCCAUCAAACUGUGGAGAACACUAAUGUUCUAUCUUGUUUUUAAUCAAAACUAAUGUUCUACCCGGGAAGAAAAAUGACAGAUGCAACUCACGCAGAUGACCAGGCCUAGGUAAUUUAUAGCAGAUGUCCACCCGUGAGUCCUUUUUCUGCGGAUUAAAAGAAACACUUGCAAGUUGUUAAACCAAAAACAGUGAAUAUAGCAUGCAAGUAAUAAUCAGAAUAUUAUUCAGCUUCCAUUUCCAUGAAUCAAUCAGAGAUAAAGUUGAUCUUUAUUUGACAUUCAAUCAAACAGUCCCAAUCAAAUUUAAUUUGGGGCAGGGUAGAAAGAUGCAAGUCAUAAUAGGGAGAAAAGCUAUCAAGAAUGCCAUGCUGCUUGUUGCGACAAAUUUACCAUGUUACACCUUUUCGUGGAAGGGUCAAAAGAUCUGGAUGCGCUUAUCUGAAAUUCUUAAAUGAUCAGUUCAAACAAAUUAUAGAGCCAAAGCAAUUCAAAAUUUAGCAUUAUGAAGGAAAGGCUCGUGAUUAGUAUGCAAAUACGAAAGGCACAAGAUUACUACGAAGUAGGAUGACUGUCUGCCAAAGGCAAAAAUAACUCAGUUUUAUGCUUUUCUAAACUAAAGCAGAAACGACCGUACAAUUGCAGGAGAAAAAUUGAUGUAUGCUUUUUCUAACCUCAGCAGUAACGAACAGACAAUUGCGGCAAACAGGCUUGGGCAUCACAAUCGAGAACAUCUAUCACCAGCAUACCGCACCGAUUGCGACACCUCAUGUUGUCAAUCUACACUCUGAAAUAUGUCUACAUACAUCCGUAUGUCAUAGUUCAUUUGAAAUGUCAAGAAAGACAAAUAUUUGGAAACGGAUGGAGUAAUAGAUAACUUAUGUGCCCCAUAAAAGGAUACCAAACGCCGUGUGAGAGAUAAGAAUUCAGGGUGACAUCUGUCUAUACAAUUAGUUUUCAAGGCAAACUUUUGCACCAAGAUUGUGACAUAGUCACAUUCCAUCGAAUGAACAUGUGAUGCUGACCGAAGACUUGAUCAACUGUUUAAAUAUGCCUAUGAUAAAAAAUAGUUUAUUCAAAGCACAUUUAUCUAAGAAUGUAGUACGAUUUGUUUAAAGUCAAAAAUGAGAGAUUUGGUUACAUCCUAAAUUAUCAUAUAUAUUGAGGAAUAAAUUUCAUCAACUCAUGAUCUAAAAUGAAAGGACUUCUUAUUAGUGGCAUAAAGUCGUGAGAAAGCCAUGUUAUAUGCACUCUAUUAUGUGUUGGAGCACAUGUGUGCUCGUUAUCCCUCCCAUCAAGUUGCCCCGGGAUUUACAGCCCAACACGCAUAGGCCACUAAUAAUCUAUGUAUGCUUCUUUUGAACAGUGAAUAUGGCCCACAUCUGAAGUCCAUGAAACAUGACUAUGUGAGGCACUUUCACACCGGAUCGAAUGUCAGACCACCAUAUGGGUCGUCCAAGACGAGAUUCUGGACUAACAGAGUCAUUUUCGAGUCGAUUUAUUAUGUCUGACUCAUGCAUGUGGCUUCCCUUCCCCUACACAACUAAAGCUCGUCCCUCACUGGCUAAAGCGAACUCCACCUAGAUCCACCAUUCCCCCGCAGUCAAUUCUUCCUCAUCAGCCAUUCCCGAAGACAUCUUG